CGUACACUCCUGCGGGAGGCAGCAGUGGGGAAUAUUAGACAAUGGGCGCAAGCCUGAUCCAGCCAUGCCGCGUGAGUGAUGAAGGCCCUAGGGUUGUAAAGCUCUUUCACCGGUGAAGAUAAUGACGGUAACCGGAGAAGAAGCCCCGGCUAACUUCGUGCCAGCAGCCGCGGUAAUACGAAGGGGGCUAGCGUUGUUCGGAUUUACUGGGCGUAAAGCGCACGUAGGCGGACUAUUAAGUCAGGGGUGAAAUCCCGGGGCUCAACCCCGGAACUGCCUUUGAUACUGGUAGUCUUGAGUUCGAGAGAGGUGAGUGGAAUUCCGAGUGUAGAGGUGAAAUUCGUAGAUAUUCGGAGGAACACCAGUGGCGAAGGCGGCUCACUGGCUCGAUACUGACGCUGAGGUGCGAAAGCGUGGGGAGCAAACAGGAUUAGAUACCCUAGUAGUCCCAUG
RNAcentral lists this ribosomal RNA (453 nucleotides) under uncultured organism. RNAcentral's name for it is "partial 16S ribosomal RNA". It matches the Rfam family "Bacterial small subunit ribosomal RNA", at positions 330 to 799 of the family's 1533-position model. The record is from RNAcentral.